Molecule: long non-coding RNA, 2721 nt
Organism: Grammomys surdaster
Lineage: Eukaryota; Metazoa; Chordata; Mammalia; Rodentia; Muridae
Exons: 2
Source: RefSeq, a predicted model, not a curated record
UACACCACAUACACACACAAUGCAUAGACAUCACAUACACACACAAACAUAUACACACAACACAUACACACAUACAACACACACAAAGCUGCAGUUUUACUUCCAGUAAUUGAGAAUUGCAUUGAAGAAAUGGGAAUGCUUGUCUGCCAUUAGGUGGCUUUCUAAGUAUAUGAUGGAAUUCAGGCCAGGUCACCUUACUAAUAGACCCCCAGAUGCAUAAUAAUUUGAACACACUGGAAGUUUAAUUUUACUCACUAAAUGAUCAGAGACAGGGCUUCCUGUUGGGAAAGAAGAGGUAAGUGGCGAGGGGAAUCUCAGGUAGAAUGUUUGCUUCACCUUGCAUUUGGGGUCCUUGGCCUUUGGCUUGAGUUCUCCAAUCAGCUAAAAGAGAAAAGGCCUCUAGGGCCUGCAAAUAUCACACACAGAAGCUCAUUUCAUUGGCUAGAACUUGGUUGUGCUGUGUUCUUAGCUGCAAAGGAGAGUGGGAAGGACAAUUUAGCUGUAUACCUCAGAUGAAGAGAAAACAGAGCUCAUCUUUGCCAUAAUCUAGUGGGCACACAGGAUUGGUUAAAAGGGGAAGGCAUGGUUAUAUUCCCUCCCCCCUUAGAAGACAGGUAGAAAGUUAAGCUAUCUCCGAGGAAACAAGAGGAACAAAAUGAAUAUUAGAACCUUUGCAGAGGGAACAUGAGUUUUUUAAUUCUAAUCUCUCCUCCAAUAGCCAUCAUCAGAUAUACAGCCAGCCCUCUUCUGUCUAGAAGGUUCUGGAUGCUAGGGAAUUCAUGUUCUAAAAAUGUAUUACAAAGAAACAGCUAAACCUGAACUCUAACUGAACAGUGAUAGUCUACAUCCUGUCCUGUGAUGUUCUGGACCAUAACUCUGACCCACAGGUGCUUCUGUGGAUGGGAGGCAGCUAACAUGAGAGGCCGGGUCUGCUCUUCUUGGUUGCAUAUGCACAAUCCUUUCAGCUCUGUGUGGACUCAUUGGUUUUAACCUGGGGUGCCGUCACUGUCCUGAGCAGUGCCUCCCGCCUCUAAUUCCAUCACAACCUUUGAUGGGAACAAAACCCAUCCUGUAACUCAGCCUAUACUUGUGUUAGAUUAUUUUGGUUCCACAUGACAUUCCUACAAACAAUGUUGUCAAAGACUGGAAACAGCAUUGGUGAGAACAAGAAACUAUUUCAGAUUGCUUGGCGAAGGGCAAGCUGAGUGGCUGAGUUGCUGUGUUAAUGGAUACUGAUACUGUCUUUAAUCCUGAGGCCGUGGAAGAGGUUGUUCAUUUAGUUGCAGCACAGGCUUGUCUUGAGUCAAGUAGAAUAUACCUGCCUCAGUCACUGUAUCUACACUAUUGAAGCUUCUUUCAGGUUAAAGAUAGAAUUAAAAUGUCAAUGCCAAGUUUUCAUGGGGUCUGAGGAUGCAGAGUCUGGGGGUGGUGAGAUCUGGAAGCAGCUAAAGCAACAGCUGGAGACAGAGGCAGGCCUAGGAGAGUCUGAUGCAUAGCUUGGCUACAGAGAAAUGGGUAAUAAAGAUGCUGGGGGGUGGGCAGGGGGAGUGAACUUGCUUUCAGGUAAUGAGAAAACAGUACUGAAGAAAAUCCCUGUGAGCCCACUGCAGAGUGACUGGAUGGUUGGGUAAGGAAGAAGUUGGCUGGGAGCUCCUCAUAGGUGCUAGCACAUCUUCUGUGUGGGACAUGCUGUGUUUUGAGCUGUGACAAUCUGCUAUGUUGUAUUUUUACCAAUUAAUAAAAGGAGGGAAAACAGCACAUUGUCUUGGGUUGAAAUCAGCCAAGAAUGCAAUUCCACUGAAGACGUUGACACAGUGAGACAGCGAAAACAACACAGUCCCACGGAAGCCUGUGCAGAGUGGCUAUGACUACUGUAUGGUAGACAUCAUGGUCAGAGGAUGCCCUGUGGUUUUCAGGAAGAGCAAAUUAGAGAUUCAUGAGUUAGAAGGCUUUCCUGUUCAACACUGCGCUUCAGAUCCUGAUUCAAAGUCAAUGCAGAAGAGUAGAUGAAAUCCAUCUGUUUGACUGUAACAAGCAAAAGCUUGGAUGAUUUUUCUUUUCACUCUUUGGAAAUAUGGGUCAUUUUAGGGCUGUGUCUUACUCAGUUUGAGUCUAACUGUAAUACACUUAAGGAAAAAUGAAAACUGUAAAACCAAGCAGCUCCUGAGAACCUACUGGAUGUGUCAGUGUCCACAUGCAAGAGUGAUUCCUGUGAGUGGACUCGGUGGUGCUCAGCCUUCAGGGGACAAACAUAUAUCCAGUGUGCACAGCACUCGGUUUCAUAAAGACCUCCGUGAGCUUUUCGACAAUUAGGUAGCAUCAUGUUGUGUCCUGAAAUCAUACAUGAAUCCUGUGAAGCCUACAAGGACAGGGUCCUAAAGAAGGAACAUGCGAACUGAAAUGAACGGACAAACAAAACAAAACAGCCCAAAAUGUUCAAGUGAAAGAGAAGAAUUUAAGCAUGCAACAUAGAGAGGGGCUAAGACUUAGCACAGAGUUUGUUAAUGGAAGGAAACGUCAAUUGAUGACAUCAUGAAGCAGCCGGUGAAAACUGCCCCUGCAGUUCACAAAUGGAAAGAGACGUCUGUCUCAUAACCAACAUCACCUUCCAUUCAGCUCUAACCACAAUUCUCCCUUCUAGUGCUGGCUUCAAACACUAGAAAUGACUAAACAUUUUUUUGUGCCAACUUGAAUGCGUAAAUUACAUCAUAUCUCACUGUG